Molecule: long non-coding RNA, 15454 nt
Filed under: Brassica rapa (field mustard)
Lineage: Eukaryota; Viridiplantae; Streptophyta; Magnoliopsida; Brassicales; Brassicaceae
Source: RNAcentral
GGUGACCUCCCGGGAAGUCCUCGUGUUGCACCCCUUUUUAUUUUUUAAUUUUUUUUUACCCUAAAACGAGUUUAAACUUGGUAACCUCAUAACUUUGAACGUGAGGAACUACGUCGCCCAUAGCACCAUUUCGGAAAGCCCAGAAACCAUAAUGGGCGGUGAAUAAGGGGCACAAUUUUUCGGGCUCGAAUUCAGCCGUUUUGACCCUCAAACGGGCUGCGGAAAGUUAUGGCACGUAAAAAAGAUCGAAAGCGGAUUCUCAAGGUGUUUUUGAUGCUUUCUUAACGCCGUUAACCUCGAUGCACUUUUUCGCUCGAAACAAAACGGCAAGAAAAUCAUGUGCGCCCCACGGUCUUACACUUGGAUGGCUGGCAGCAAAAAGGAUAUAUAGAAACGAGAGUGAUGUACUGACGGGUGCGAUCAACCAGCACUAAUGCACCGGAUCCCAUCAGAACUCUGCAGUUAAUCGUGCUUGGGCGAGAGUAGUACUAGGAUGGUGACCUCCCGGGAAGUCCUCGGUGCACCCCUUUUAUUUUUUAAUUUUUUUACCCUAAAACGAGUUAAACUUGGAAACUCAUAACUUUUGAACCGUGAGGAACUACGUCGCCCAUAGCACCAUUUUGAAAGCCCCAGAAACCAUAAUGGGCGGUGAGUAGGGGGCGCAAUUUUUCGGGCUCAAAUUCAGCCGUUUUGACCCUCAAACGGGCUGCGGAAAGUUAUAGCAUGCAAAAAGAUCGAAAGCGGAUUCUCAAUGUGUUUUUAAUGCUUUUCUUAACGCCGUUAACCUCGAUGCACUUUUCGCUCGAAACAACACGGCAAGAAAAUCAUGUGGGCCCACGGCCUUACACUUGGAUUGGCCGGGAAAAGGAUAUAUAGAAACGAGAGUGAUGUACUAACGGGUGUGAUCAUACCGGCACUAAUGCACCGGAUCCCAUCAGAACUCCGCAGUUAAGGGUGCUUGGGCGAGAGUAGUACUAGGAUGGGUGACCCUCCCGCGAAGUCCUCGUGUUGCACCCCUUUUUAUUUUUAAUUUUUUUUUACCCUAAAAAAGAUCGAAAGCGGAUUCUCAAGGUGUUUUUGAUGCUUUCUUAACGCCGUUAACCUCGAUGCACUUUUUUGCUCGAAACAAAACGGCAAGAAAAUCAUGUGCGCCCCACGGUCUUACACUUGGAUUGGCCGCGAAAAGGAUAUAUAGAAACGAGAGUGAUGUACUGACGGGUGCGAUCAUACCAGCACUAAUGCACGGGAUCCCAUCAAACUCCGCAGUUAAGCGUGCUUGGGCGAGUAGUACUAGGAUGGGUGACCUCCCGGGGUCCUCGUGUUGCACCCCUUUUUAUUUUUUAAUUUUUUUUAGCCUAAAACGAGUCUAAACUUGAAAACCUCAUAACUUUUGAACCGUGAGGAACUACGUCGCCCAUAGCACCAUUCGGAAAGCCCCAGAAACCAUAAUCGGCGGUGAAUAGGGGGCGCAAUUUUUCGGGCUCAAAUUCAGACGUUUUGACCCUCAAACGGGCUGCGGAAAGCUAUGGCACGUAAAAAAGAUCGAAAGGUGAUUCUCAAGGUGUUUUGAUGCUUUCUUAACGUUGUUAACCUCGAUGCACUUUUUCGCUCGAAACAAAACGGCAAGAAAAUCAUGUGCGCCCCACGGUCCUUACACUUGGAUUGGCCGCGAAAAGGAUAUAUAGAAACGAGAGUGAUGUACUGACGGGUGCGAUCAAACCAGCACUAAUGCACCGAUCCCAUCAGAACUCUACAGUUUACGUGCUUGGGCGAGAGUAGUACUAGGAUGGGUGACCUCCCGGGAAGUCCUCGUGUUGCACCCCUUUUAUUUUUUAAUUUUUUUUUUACCCUAAAACGAGUUUUAAACUUGGUAACCUCAUAACUUUUGAACGGUGAGGAACUACGUCGCCCAUAGCACCAUUUCGGAAAGCCCCAGAAACCAUAAUGGGCGGUGAAUAAGGGGCACAAUUUUUCGGGCUCGAAUUCAGCCGUUUUGACCCUCAAACGGGCUGCGGAAAGUUAUGGCACGUAAAAAAGAUCGAAAGCGGAUUCUCAAGGUGUUUUUGAUGCUUUCUUAACGCCGUUAACCUCGAUGCACUUUUUCGCUCGAAACAAAACGGCAAGAAAAUCAUGUGCGCCCCACGGUCUUACACUUGGAUUGGCAGCAAAAAGGAUAUAGAAACGAGAGUGAUGUACUGACGGGUGCGAUCAAACCAGCACUAAUGCACCGGAUCCCAUCAGAACUCUGCAGUUAAUCGUGCUUGGGCGAGAGUAGUACUAGGAUGGGUGACCUCCCGGGAAGUCCUCGUGUUGCACCCCUUUUUAUUUUUUAAUUUUUUUUACCCUAAAACGAGUUUAAACUUGGAAACCUCAUAACUUUUGAACCGUGAGGAACUACGUCGCCCAUAGCACCAUUUCGGAAAGCCCCAGAAACCAUAAUGGGCGGUGAGUAGGGGGCGCAAUUUUUCGGGCUCAAAUUCAGCCGUUUUGACCCUCAAACGGGCUGCGGAAAGUUAUGGCACGUAAAAAAGAUCGAAAGCGGAUUCUCAAUGUGUUUUUAAUACUUUCUUAACGCCGUUAACCUCGAUGCACUUUUUCGCUCGAAACACAACGGCAAGAAAAUCAUGUGGGCCCCACGGCCUUACACUUGGAUUGGCCGGGAAAAGGAUAUAUAGAAACGAGAGUGAUGUACUAACGGGUGUGAUUAUACCGGCACUAAUGCACCGGAUCCCAUCAGAACUCCGCAGUUAAGGGUGCUUGGGCGAGAGUAGUACUAGGAUGGGUGACCUCUCGGGAAGUCCUCGUGUUGCACCCCAUUUUAUUUUUUAAUUUUAUUUUACCCUAAAAAAAAUCGAAAGCGGAUUCUCAAGGUGUUUUUGAUGCUUUCUUAACGCCGUUAACCUCGAUGCACUUUUUUGCUCGAAACAAAACGGCAAGAAAAUCAUGUGCGCCCCACGGUCUUACACUUGGAUUGGCCGCGAAAAGGAUAUAUAGAAACGAGAGUGAUGUACUGACGGGUGCGAUCAUACCAGCACUAAUGCACGGGAUCCCAUCAAAACUCCGCAGUUAAGCGUGCUUGGGCGAGAGUAGUACUAGGAUGGGUGACCUCCCGGGAAGUCCUCGUGUUGCACCCUUUUUAUUUUUUAAUUUUUUUUUUAGCCUAAAACGAGUCUAAACUUGAAAACCUCAUAACUUUUGAACCGUGAGGAACUACGUCGCCCAUAGCACCAUUUCGGAAAGCCCCAGAAACCAUAAUCGGCGGUGAAUAGGGGCGCAAUUUUUCGGGCUCAAAUUCAGACGUUUUGACCCUCAAACGGGCUGCGGAAAGCUAUGGCACGUAAAAAAGAUCGAAAGCUGAUUCUCAAGGUGUUUUUGAUGCUUUCUUAACGUUGUUAACCUCGAUGCACUUUUUCGCUCGAAACAAAACGGCAAGAAAAUCAUGUGCGCCCCACGGUCUUACACUUGGAUUGGCCGCGAAAAGGAUAUAUAGAAACGAGAGUGAUGUACUGACGGGUGCGAUCAAACCAGCACUAAUGCACCGGAUCCCAUCAGAACUCUACAGUUAUUCGUGCUUGGGCGAGAGUAGUACUAGGAUGGGUGACCUCCCGGGAAGUCCUCGUGUUGCACCCCUUUUUAUUUUUUAAUUUUUUUUUUACCCUAAAACGAGUUUAAACUUGGUAACCUCAUAACUUUUGAACGGUGAGGAACUACGUCGCCCAUAGCACCAUUUCGGAAAGCCCCAGAAACCAUAAUGGGCGGUGAAUAAGGGGCACAAUUUUUCGGGCUCGAAUUCAGCCGUUUUGACCCUCAAACGGGCUGCGGAAAGUUAUGGCACGUAAAAAAGAUCGAAAGCGGAUUCUCAAGGUGUUUUUGAUGCUUUCUUAACGCCGUUAACCUCGAUGGACUUUUUCGCUCGAAACAAAACGGCAAGAAAAUCAUGUGCGCCCCACGGUCUUACACUUGGAUUGGCAGCAAAAAGGAUAUAUAGAAACGAGAGUGAUGUACUGACGGGUGCGAUCAAACCAGCACUAAUGCACCGGAUCCCAUCAGAACUCUGCAGUUAAUCGUGCUUGGGCGAGAGUAGUACUAGGAUGGGUGACCUCCCGGGAAGUCCUCGUGUUGCACCCCUUUUUAUUUUUUAAUUUUUUUUACCCUAAAACGAGUUUAAACUUGGAAACCUCAUAACUUUUGAACCGUGAGGAACUACGUCGCCCAUAGCACCAUUUUGGAAAGCCCAGAAACCAUAAUGGGCGGUGAGUAGGGGGCGCAAUUUUUCGGGCUCAAAUUCAGCCGUUUUGACCCUCAAACGGGCUGCGGAAAGUUAUAGCAUGCAAAAAAGAUCGAAAGCGGAUUCUCAAUGUGUUUUUAAUGCUUUCUUAACGCCGUUAACCUCGAUGCACUUUUUCGCUCGAAACACAACGGCAAGAAAAUCAUGUGGGCCCACGGCCUUACACUUGGAUUGGCCGGGAAAAGGAUAUAUAGAAACGAGAGUGAUGUACUAACGGGUGUGAUCAUACCGGCACUAAUGCACCGGAUCCCAUCAGAACUCCGCAGUUAAGGGUGCUUGGGCGAGAGUAGUACUAGGAUGGGUGACCUCCCGCGAAGUCCUCGUGUUGCACCCCUUUUUAUUUUUUAAUUUUUUUUUACCCUAAAAAGAUCGAAAGCGGAUUCUCAAGGUGUUUUUGAUGCUUUCUUAACGCCGUUAACCUCGAUGCACUUUUUCGCUCGAAACAAAACGGCAAGAAAAUCAUGUGCGCCCCACGGUCUUACACUUGGAUUGGCCGCGAAAAGGAUAUAUAGAAACGAGAGUGAUGUACUGACGGGUGCGAUCAAACCAGCACUAAUGCACCGGAUCCCAUCAGAACUCUACAGUUAUUCGUGCUUGGGCGAGAGUAGUACUAGGAUGGGUGACCUCCCGGGAAGUCCUCGUGUUGCACCCCUUUUUAUUUUUUAAUUUUUUUUUACCCUAAAACGAGUUUAAACUUGGUAACCUCAUAACUUUUGAACGGUGAGGAACUACGUCGCCCAUAGCACCAUUUCGGAAAGCCCCAGAAACCAUAAUGGGCGGUGAAUAAGGGGCACAAUUUUUCGGGCUCGAAUUCAGCCGUUUUGACCCUCAAACGGGCUGCGGAAAGUUAUGGCACGUAAAAAAGAUCGAAAGCGGAUUCUCAAGGUGUUUUUGAUGCUUUCUUAACGCCGUUAACCUCGAUGCACUUUUUCGCUCGAAACAAAACGGCAAGAAAAUCAUGUGCGCCCCACGGUCUUACACUUGGAUUGGCAGCAAAAAGGAUAUAUAGAAACGAGAGUGAUGUACUGACGGGUGCGAUCAAACCAGCACUAAUGCACCGGAUCCCAUCAGAACUCUACAGUUAUUCGUGCUUGGGCGAGAGUAGUACUAGGAUGGGUGACCUCCCGGGAAGUCCUCGUGUUGCACCCCUUUUUAUUUUUUAAUUUUUUUUUUACCCUAAAACGAGUUUAAACUUGGUAACCUCAUAACUUUUGAACGGUGAGGAACUACGUCGCCCAUAGCACCAUUUCGGAAAGCCCCAGAAACCAUAAUGGGCGGUGAAUAAGGGGCACAAUUUUUCGGGCUCGAAUUCAGCCGUUUUGACCCUCAAACGGGCUGCGGAAAGUUAUGGCACGUAAAAAAAGAUCGAAAGCGGAUUCUCAAGGUGUUUUUGAUGCUUUCUUAACGCCGUUAACCUCGAUGCACUUUUUCGCUCGAAACAAAACGGCAAGAAAAUCAUGUGCGCCCCACGGUCUUACACUUGGAUUGGCAGCAAAAAGGAUAUAUAGAAACGAGAGUGAUGUACUGACGGGUGCGAUCAAACCAGCACUAAUGCACCGGAUCCCAUCAGAACUCUGCAGUUAAUCGUGCUUGGGCGAGAGUAGUACUAGGAUGGGUGACCUCCCGGGAAGUCCUCGUGUUGCACCCCUUUUUAUUUUUUAAUUUUUUUUACCCUAAAACGAGUUUAAACUUGGAAACCUCAUAACUUUUGAACCGUGAGGAACUACGUCGCCCAUAGCACCAUUUUGGAAAGCCCCAGAAACCAUAAUGGGCGGUGAGUAGGGGGCGCAAUUUUUCGGGCUCAAAUUCAGCCGUUUUGACCCUCAAACGGGCUGCGGAAAGUUAUAGCAUGCAAAAAAGAUCGAAAGCGGAUUCUCAAUGUGUUUUUAAUGCUUUCUUAACGCCGUUAACCUCGAUGCACUUUUUCGCUCGAAACACAACGGCAAGAAAAUCAUGUGGGCCCCACGGCCUUACACUUGGAUUGGCCGGGAAAAGGAUAUAUAGAAACGAGAGUGAUGUACUAACGGGUGUGAUCAUACCGGCACUAAUGCACCGGAUCCCAUCAGAACUCCGCAGUUAAGGGUGCUUGGGCGAGAGUAGUACUAGGAUGGGUGACCUCCCGCGAAGUCCUCGUGUUGCACCCCUUUUUAUUUUUUAAUUUUUUUUUACCCUAAAAAAGAUCGAAAGCGGAUUCUCAAGGUGUUUUUGAUGCUUUCUUAACGCCGUUAACCUCGAUGCACUUUUUCGCUCGAAACAAAACGGCAAGAAAAUCAUGUGCGCCCCACGGUCUUACACUUGGAUUGGCCGCGAAAAGGAUAUAUAGAAACGAGAGUGAUGUACUGACGGGUGCGAUCAAACCAGCACUAAUGCACCGGAUCCCAUCAGAACUCUACAGUUAUUCGUGCUUGGGCGAGAGUAGUACUAGGAUGGGUGACCUCCCGGGAAGUCCUCGUGUUGCACCCCUUUUUAUUUUUUAAUUUUUUUUUACCCUAAAACGAGUUUAAACUUGGUAACCUCAUAACUUUUGAACGGUGAGGAACUACGUCGCCCAUAGCACCAUUUCGGAAAGCCCCAGAAACCAUAAUGGGCGGUGAAUAAGGGGCACAAUUUUUCGGGCUCGAAUUCAGCCGUUUUGACCCUCAAACGGGCUGCGGAAAGUUAUGGCACGUAAAAAAGAUCGAAAGCGGAUUCUCAAGGUGUUUUUGAUGCUUUCUUAACGCCGUUAACCUCGAUGCACUUUUUCGCUCGAAACAAAACGGCAAGAAAAUCAUGUGCGCCCCACGGUCUUACACUUGGAUUGGCCGCGAAAAGGAUAUAUAGAAACGAGAGUGAUGUACUGACGGGUGCGAUCAAACCAGCACUAAUGCACCGGAUCCCAUCAGAACUCUGCAGUUAAUCGUGCUUGGGCGAGAGUAGUACUAGGAUGGGUGACCUCCCGGGAAGUCCUCGUGUUGCACCCCUUUUUAUUUUUUAAUUUUUUUUUACCCUAAAACGAGUUUAAACUUGGAAACCUCAUAACUUUUGAACCGUGAGGAACUACGUCGCCCGUAGCACUAUUUCGGAAAGCCCCAGAAACCAUAAUCGGCGGUGAAUAGGGGGCGCAAUUUUUCAGGCUCAAAUUCAGCCGUUUUGACCCUCAAACGGGCUGCGGAAAGCUAUGGCACGUAAAAAAGAUCGAAAGCGGAUUCUCAAGGUGUUUUUGAUGCUUUCUUAACGCCGUUAACCUCGAUGCACUUUUUCGCUCGAAACAAAACGGCAAGAAAAUCAUGUGGGCCCCACGGCCUUACACUUGGAUUGGCCGGGAAAAGGAUAUAUAGAAACGAGAGUGAUGUACUGACGGGUGUGAUCAUACCAGCACUAAUGCACCGGAUCCCAUCAGAACUCCGCAGUUAAGGGUGCUUGGGCGAGAGUAGUACUAGGAUGGGUGACCUCCCGGGAAGUCCUCGUGUUGCACCCCUUUUUAUUUUUUAAUUUUUUUUUACCCUAAAAAAGAUCGAAAGCGGAUUCUCAAGGUGUUUGUGAUGCUUUCUUAACGCCGUUAACCUCGAUGCACUUUUUCGCUCGAAACAAAACGGCAAGAAAAUCAUGUGCGCCCCACGGUCUUACACUUGGAUUGGCCGCGAAAAGGUUAUAUAGAAACGAGAUUGAUGUACUGACGGGUGCGAUCAUUCCAGCACUAAUGCACUGGAUCCCAUCAGAACUCUGCAGUUAAGCGUGCUUGGGCGAGAGUAGUACUAGGAUGGGUGACCUCCCGGGAAGUCCUCGUGUUGCACCCCUUUUUAUUUUUUAAUUUUUUUUAGCCUAAAACGAGUCUAAACUUGAAAACCUCAUAACUUUUGAACCGUGAGGAACUACGUCGCCCAUAGCACCAUUUCGGAAAGCCCCAGAAACCAUAAUCGGCGGUGAAUAGGGGGCGCAAUUUUUCGGGCUCAAAUUCAGACGUUUUGACCCUCAAACGGGCUGCGGAAAGCUAUGGCACGUAAAAAAGAUCGAAAGCUGAUUCUCAAGGUGUUUUUGAUGCUUUCUUAACGUUGUUAACCUCGAUGCACUUUUUCGCUCGAAACAAAACGGCAAGAAAAUCAUGUGCGCCCCACGGUCUUACACUUGGAUUGGCCGCGAAAAGGAUAUAUAGAAACGAGAGUGAUGUACUGACGGGUGCGAUCAAACCAGCACUAAUGCACCGGAUCCCAUCAGAACUCUACAGUUAUUCGUGCUUGGGCGAGAGUAGUACUAGGAUGGGUGACCUCCCGGGAAGUCCUCGUGUUGCACCCCUUUUUAUUUUUUAAUUUUUUUUUACCCUAAAACGAGUUUAAACUUGGUAACCUCAUAACUUUUGAACGGUGAGGAACUACGUCGCCCAUAGCACCAUUUCGGAAAGCCCCAGAAACCAUAAUGGGCGGUGAAUAAGGGGCACAAUUUUUCGGGCUCGAAUUCAGCCGUUUUGACCCUCAAACGGGCUGCGGAAAGUUAUGGCACGUAAAAAAGAUCGAAAGCGGAUUCUCAAGGUGUUUUUGAUGCUUUCUUAACGCCGUUAACCUCGAUGCACUUUUUCGCUCGAAACAAAACGGCAAGAAAAUCAUGUGCGCCCCACGGUCUUACACUUGGAUUGGCAGCAAAAAGGAUAUAUAGAAACGAGAGUGAUGUACUGACGGGUGCGAUCAAACCAGCACUAAUGCACCGGAUCCCAUCAGAACUCUGCAGUUAAUCGUGCUUGGGCGAGAGUAGUACUAGGAUGGGUGACCUCCCGGAAAGUCCUCGUGUUGCACCCCUUUUUAUUUUUUAAUUUUUUUUACCCUAAAACGAGUUUAAACUUGGAAACCUCAUAACUUUUGAACCGUGAGGAACUACGUCGCCCAUAGCACCAUUUUGGAAAGCCCCAGAAACCAUAAUGGGCGGUGAGUAGGGGGCGCAAUUUUUCGGGCUCAAAUUCAGCCGUUUUGACCCUCAAACGGGCUGCGGAAAGUUAUAGCAUGCAAAAAAGAUCGAAAGCGGAUUCUCAAUGUGUUUUUAAUGCUUUCUUAACGCCGUUAACCUCGAUGCACUUUUUCGCUCGAAACACAACGGCAAGAAAAUCAUGUGGGCCCCACGGCCUUACACUUGGAUUGGCCGGGAAAAGGAUAUAUAGAAACGAGAGUGAUGUGCUAACGGGUGUGAUCAUACCGGCACUAAUGCACCGGAUCCCAUCAGAACUCCGCAGUUAAGGGUGCUUGGGCGAGAGUAGUACUAGGAUGGGUGACCUCCCGCGAAGUCCUCGUGUUGCACCCCUUUUUAUUUUUUAAUUUUUUUUUACCCUAAAAAAGAUCGAAAGCGGAUUCUCAAGGUGUUUUUGAUGCUUUCUUAACGCCGUUAACCUCGAUGCACUUUUUCGCUCGAAACAAAACGGCAAGAAAAUCAUGUGCGCCCCACGGUCUUACACUUGGAUUGGCCGCGAAAAGGAUAUAUAGAAACGAGAGUGAUGUACUGACGGGUGCGAUCAUACCAGCACUAAUGCACGGGAUCCCAUCAAAACUCCGCAGUUAAGCGUGCUUGGGCGAGAGUAGUACUAGGAUGGGUGACCUCCCGGGAAGUCCUCGUGUUGCACCCCUUUUUAUUUUUUAAUUUUUUUUAGCCUAAAACGAGUCUAAACUUGAAAACCUCAUAACUUUUGAACCGUGAGGAACUACGUCGCCCAUAGCACCAUUUCGGAAAGCCCCAGAAACCAUAAUCGGCGGUGAAUAGGGGGCGCAAUUUUUCGGGCUCAAAUUCAGACGUUUUGACACUCAAACGGGCUGCGGAAAGCUAUGGCACGUAAAAAAGAUCGAAAGCUGAUUCUCAAGGUGUUUUUGAUGCUUUCUUAACGUUGUUAACCUCGAUGCACUUUUUCGCUCGAAACAAAACGGCAAGAAAAUCAUGUGUGCCCCACGGUCUUACACUUGGAUUGGCCGCGAAAAGGAUAUAUAGAAACGAGAGUGAUGUACUGACGGGUGUGAUCAAACCAGCACUAAUGCACCGGAUCCCAUCAGAACUGUACAGCUAAUCGUGCUUGGGCGAGAGUAGUACUAGGAUGGGUGACCUCCCGGGAAGUCCUCGUGUUGCACCCCUUUUUAUUUUUUAAUAUUUUUUUUACCCUAAAACGAGUUUAAACUUGGAAACCUCAUAACUUUUGAACCGUGAGGAACUACGUCGCCCAUAGCACCAUUUCGGAAAGCCCAAGAAACCAUAAUCGGCGGUGAAUAAGGGGCACAAUUUUUCGGGCUCGAAUUCAGCCGUUUUGACCCUCAAACGGGCUGCGGAAAGUUAUGGCACGUAAAAAAGAUCGAAAGCAGAUUCUCAAGGUGUUUUUGAUGCUUUCUUAACGCCGUUAACCUCGAUGCACUUUUUCGCUCGAAACAAAACGGCAAGAAAAUCAUGUGGGCCCCACGGACUUACACUUGGAUUGGCCGGGAAAAGGAUAUAUAGAAACGAGAGUGAUGUACUGACGGGUGUGAUCAAACCAGCACUAAUGCACCGGAUCCCAUCAGAACUGUACAGCUAAUCGUGCUUGGGCGAGAGUAGUACUAGGAUGGGUGACCUCCCGGGAAGUCCUCGUGUUGCACCCCUUUUUAUUUUUUAAUAUUUUUUUUACCCUAAAACGAGUUUAAACUUGGAAACCUCAUAACUUUUGAACCGUGAGGAACUACGUCGCCCAUAGCACCAUUUCGGAAAGCCCAAGAAACCAUAAUCGGCGGAGAAUAAGGGGCACAAUUUUUCGGGCUCGAAUUCAGCCGUUUUGACCCUCAAACGGGCUGCGGAAAGUUAUGGCACGUAAAAAAGAUCGAAAGCAGAUUCUCAAGGUGUUUUUGAUGCUUUCUUAACGCCGUUAACCUCGAUGCACUUUUUCGCUCGAAACACAACGGCAAGAAAAUCAUGUGGGCCCCACGGCCUUACACUUGGAUUGGCCGGGAAAAGGAUAUAUAGAAACGAGAGUGAUGUGCUAACGGGUGUGAUCAUACCGGCACUAAUGCACCGGAUCCCAUCAGAACUCCGCAGUUAAGGGUGCUUGGGCGAGAGUAGUACUAGGAUGGGUGACCUCCCGCGAAGUCCUCGUGUUGCACCCCUUUUUAUUUUUUAAUUUUUUUUUACCCUAAAAAAGAUCGAAAGCGGAUUCUCAAGGUGUUUUUGAUGCUUUCUUAACGCCGUUAACCUCGAUGCACUUUUUCGCUCGAAACAAAACGGCAAGAAAAUCAUGUGCGCCCCACGGUCUUACACUUGGAUUGGCCGCGAAAAGGAUAUAUAGAAACGAGAGUGAUGUACUGACGGGUGCGAUCAUACCAGCACUAAUGCACGGGAUCCCAUCAAAACUCCGCAGUUAAGCGUGCUUGGGCGAGAGUAGUACUAGGAUGGGUGACCUCCCGGGAAGUCCUCGUGUUGCACCCCUUUUUAUUUUUUAAUUUUUUUAGCCUAAAACGAGUCUAAACUUGAAAACCUCAUAACUUUUGAACCGUGAGGAACUACGUCGCCCAUAGCACCAUUUCGGAAAGCCCCAGAAACCAUAAUCGGCGGUGAAUAGGGGGCGCAAUUUUUCGGGCUCAAAUUCAGACGUUUUGACACUCAAACGGGCUGCGGAAAGCUAUGGCACGUAAAAAAGAUCGAAAGCUGAUUCUCAAGGUGUUUUUGAUGCUUUCUUAACGUUGUUAACCUCGAUGCACUUUUUCGCUCGAAACAAAACGGCAAGAAAAUCAUGUGUGCCCCACGGUCUUACACUUGGAUUGGCCGCGAAAAGGAUAUAUAGAAACGAGAGUGAUGUACUGACGGGUGUGAUCAAACCAGCACUAAUGCACCGGAUCCCAUCAGAACUGUACAGCUAAUCGUGCUUGGGCGAGAGUAGUACUAGGAUGGGUGACCUCCCGGGAAGUCCUCGUGUUGCACCCCUUUUUAUUUUUUAAUAUUUUUUUACCCUAAAACGAGUUUAAACUUGGAAACCUCAUAACUUUUGAACCGUGAGGAACUACGUCGCCCAUAGCACCAUUUCGGAAAGCCCAAGAAACCAUAAUCGGCGGUGAAUAAGGGGCACAAUUUUUCGGGCUCGAAUUCAGCCGUUUUGACCCUCAAACGGGCUGCGGAAAGUUAUGGCACGUAAAAAAGAUCGAAAGCAGAUUCUCAAGGUGUUUUUGAUGCUUUCUUAACGCCGUUAACCUCGAUGCACUUUUUCGCUCGAAACAAAACGGCAAGAAAAUCAUGUGGGCCCCACGGACUUACACUUGGAUUGGCCGGGAAAAGGAUAUAUAGAAACGAGAGUGAUGUACUGACGGGUGUGAUCAAACCAGCACUAAUGCACCGGAUCCCAUCAGAACUGUACAGCUAAUCGUGCUUGGGCGAGAGUAGUACUAGGAUGGGUGACCUCCCGGGAAGUCCUCGUGUUGCACCCCUUUUUAUUUUUUAAUAUUUUUUUUACCCUAAAACGAGUUUAAACUUGGAAACCUCAUAACUUUUGAACCGUGAGGAACUACGUCGCCCAUAGCACCAUUUCGGAAAGCCCAAGAAACCAUAAUCGGCGGAGAAUAAGGGGCACAAUUUUUCGGGCUCGAAUUCAGCCGUUUUGACCCUCAAACGGGCUGCGGAAAGUUAUGGCACGUAAAAAAGAUCGAAAGCAGAUUCUCAAGGUGUUUUUGAUGCUUUCUUAACGCCGUUAACCUCGAUGCACUUUUUCGCUCGAAACAAAACGGCAAGAAAAUCAUGUGGGCCCCACGGACUUACACUUGGAUUGGCCGGGAAAAGGAUAUAUAGAAACGAGAGUGAUGUAUUGACGGGUGUGAUCAUACCAGCACUAUUGCACCGGAUCCCAUCAGAACUCUGCAGUUAAUCGUGCUUGGGCGAGAGUAGUACUAGGAUGGGUGACAUCCCGGGAAGUCCUCGUGUUGCACCCCUUUUUAUUUUUUAAUUUUUUUUUACCCUAAAACGAGUUUAAACUUGGAAACCUCAUAACUUUUGAACCGUGAGGAACUACGUCGCCCAUAGCACCAUUUUGGAAAGCCCCAGAAACCAUAAUGGGCGGUGAGUAGGGGGCGCAAUUUUUCGGGCUCAAAUUCAGCCGUUUUGACCCUCAAACGGGCUGCGGAAAGUUAUAGCAUGCAAAAAAGAUCGAAAGCGGAUUCUCAAUGUGUUUUUAAUGCUUUCUUAACGCCGUUAACCUCGAUGCACUUUUUCGCUCGAAACACAACGGCAAGAAAAUCAUGUGGGCCCCACGGCCUUACACUUGGAUUGGCCGGGAAAAGGAUAUAUAGAAACGAGAGUGAUGUACUAACGGGUGUGAUCAUACCGGCACUAAUGCACCGGAUCCCAUCAAAACUCCGCAGUUAAGGGUGCUUGGGCGAGAGUAGUACUAGGAUGGGUGACCUCCCGCGAAGUCCUCGUGUUGCACCCCUUUUUAUUUUUUAAUUUUUUUUUACCCUAAAAAAGAUCGAAAGCGGAUUCUCAAGGUGUUUUUGAUGCUUUCUUAACGCCUUUAACCUCGAUGCACUUUUUCGCUCGAAACAAAACGGCAAGAAAAUCAUGUGCGCCCCACGGUCUUACACUUGGAUUGGCCGCGAAAAGGAUAUAUAGAAACGAGAGUGAUGUACUGACGGGUGCGAUCAUACCAGCACUAAUGCACGGGAUCCCAUCAAAACUCCGCAGUUAAGCGUGCUUGGGCGAGAGUAGUACUAGGAUGGGUGACCUCCCGGGAAGUCCCCGUGUUGCACCCCUUUUUAUUUUUUAAUUUUUUUUAGCCUAAAACGAGUCUAAACUUGAAAACCUCAUAACUUUUGAACCGUGAGGAACUACGUCGCCCAUAGCACCAUUUCGGAAAGCCCCAGAAACCAUAAUCGGCGAUGAAUAGGGGGCGCAAUUUUUCGGGCUCAAAUUCAGACGUUGUGACCCUCAAACGGGCUGCGGAAAGCUAUGGCACGUAAAAAAGAUCGAAAGCUGAUUCUCAAGGUGUUUUUGAUGCUUUCUUAACGUUGUUAACCUCGAUGCACUUUUUCGCUCGAAACAAAACGGCAAGAAAAUCAUGUAUGCCCCACGGUCUUACACUUGGAUUGGCCGCGAAAAGGAUAUAUAGAAACGAGAGUGAUGUACUGACGGGUGUGAUCAAACCAGCACUAAUGCACCGGAUCCCAUCAGAACUCUACAGCUAAUCGUGCUUGGGCGAGAGUAGUACUAGGAUGGGUGACCUCCCGGGAAGUCCUCGUGUUGCACCCCUUUUUAUUUUUUAAUAUUUUUUUUACCCUAAAACGAGUUUAAACUUGGAAACCUCAUAACUUUUGAACCGUGAGGAACUACGUCGCCCAUAGCACCAUUUCGGAAAGCCCAAGAAACCAUAAUCGGCGGUGAAUAAGGGGCACAAUUUUUCGGGCUCGAAUUCAGCCGUUUUGACCCUCAAACGGGCUGCAGAAAGUUAUGGCACGUAAAAAAGAUCGAAAGCAGAUUCUCAAGGUGUUUUUGAUGCUUUCUUAACGCCGUUAACCUCGAUGCACUUUUUCGCUCGAAACAAAACGGCAAGAAAAUCAUGUGGGCCCCACGGACUUACACUUGGAUUGGCCGGGAAAAGGAUAUAUAGAAACGAGAGUGAUGUAUUGACGGGUGUGAUCAUACCAGCACUAUUGCACCGGAUCCCAUCAGAACUCCGCAGUGAAGCGUGCUUGGGCGAGAGUAGUUCUAGGAUGGGUGACCUCCCGGGAAGUCCUCGUGUUGAACCCCUUUUUAUUUUUUAAUUUUUUUUUAGCCUAAAACAAGUCUAAACUUGAAAACCUCAUAACUUUUGAACCAUGAGGAACUACGUCGCCCAUAGCACAAUUUCGGAAAGCCCCAGAAACCAUAAUCGGCGGUGAAUAGGGGGCGCAAUUUUUCGGGCUCAAAUUCAGCCGUUUUGACCCUCAAACGGGCUGCGGAAAUUUAUGGCACGUAAAAAAGAUCGAAAGCGGAUUCUCAAUGUGUUUUUAAUGCUUUCUUAACGCCGUUAACCUCGAUGCACUUUUUCGCUCGAAACAAAACGGCAAGAAAAUCAUGUGGGCCCCACGGCCUUACACUUGGAUUGGCCGGGAAAAGGAUAUAUAGAAACGAGAGUGAUGUACUGACGGGUGCGAUCAUACCAGCACUAACGCACCGGAUCCCAUCAGAACUCUGCAGUUAAGCGCGCUUGGGCGAGAGUAGUACUAGGAUGGGUGACCU